UCCAUAAUAAUCUGUGCUACUUGUAUUAAAACAAGAAAGAAUGAGUUAAGAAGGUUCAAGGAAAGUUAAUCGAGUUAGUAAGAAUAUCGUUAUAUAUACAUGGUUUCCUUAAGUAUCCCAAGGCGACACGGUUACCUAAAGGGUGUGGAAUCGCGCUAUGAGUAUGUAUAUGAAGUAAUGCGAGUGACCUUUUAAAGUAUUUGAGAUUAUUAGUAAUGAUAUAGAGGGUGGACAAAAGAUAUGAAUAUACUUUUGCGAUUGGAGUUUCGUCAAAGCUUUGUGAGUUCUCUAGUUAUGUUUAAGGUUAUUGUGAGUCUCUGGACCCUUCAAGAUGUGUAUAUGGAUUUUUUUAUUGAUGUAUAUAAGUGUGUAUAUGUAUGCAUAAGAGGUUACAUAAGGUUGGAAGAGGAUUAGAAGUUAAACGAAAUGAAUCGGAACAACUUCAGUAAAAUUUCGGACCCGAUUUUAGUCUAUAUUGUAGGAGGCAUAUCUCCUUGAAUAUGAGGAGUUUUAAGGUGUUUCAAAAUCCUAAAAUGAAGUUCAUCGAGUCUAGUUUGUAAUGCAACAAACCACUCGUCAAAAUGAUAUCGGGAUAAGGAGAUAUGGACGAUGCAAGUUGGGCUGGCAGGGCAGCAAGUUUGGACCCGACCCAAACACUCACAUUUCGGCCCAUGAGGCCCAUUAAACUCAAUAGAUAAGUCACCACUUUGCCCUAUAUCAUUUCACACGACCUAAAACAGAUCCAAAACCCUUAUUUUCUCUCCCAAACCCCCUUUCUAAUUGAGCCAUCAUAUAAGCUAAAUCCUAGACCCUUGACAUGAUAUUAGUUAAAGAGAAGUUGUAGCUUAAGUUUUUUUUUGUGUUGUUAAGCAAGCAGCUGGAAAGAGGAACAAGAUUCUUGAAGAUUCUGAUUGCUAAAGGUAAUUUCAACCUCCCACUCAUGUUAUCAAUUUGGAUUAAAGGUUUAAUAUGGUGUAUACGUGAAGGAAACGUUGAUAUACAAGCUAGAGAGAGAGAGAGCAUAAGCCAUGGCAUUCGGCCAUGGCUAGCAAAAUUGGAGCUCAAAUUUGUUGAUCCAAAAAUCAGAUUUUCUAGGUAUUUCAGCCCUUAGGAAGGUGAUAAUAACGUGGAGAAUUCAUUUGGAGCAACAAGAACAAGUAUUAGUGCAUUUCACAAAUUCUAGCUAAGUGGAAAAAGCCAACUUGUUAAGGUAAGAGUUGAUCAUUUUUCUAUGUGUUUGAUGAUGAAGUUGGACGUGUGGGGAAUAUGCAAAUGUAAAUUGUAUGUGUGAAAUUAUGUAUCUUGAUGUUGAAGCAUAGUUGUAACUUGGUAACAUGAAUUGCACGAAUGUUGGAAUGUUGUUGAAAUGUUGUUGAAUGCCGUAGGGGCUGUUUUUAAUUGAAAUUUGAUGGACUGAUUUGAAUUAAUAUUUUGGUUGUUGUAAUCAUAGAUUAUGUGAUGAGAAUGAAGGAAUUUAAUGGUUAGAGUUGGAGUUAAAAUUGUUGUGGGUUGUUGUAAGGAUUAUAGAGAUAAUAAUGUGAUUUACUUGCAUAUGGAUAGAUGAUGUGGUGUCGUGUGGCUGCUGUUGUAUUUCCCUGAAAUUUGCUGAAAAGAUGGCAUGAAAUAAGUCGUAAGAAGUGUAUAUGGGCUGCUUGGUGUGUUGUAAGUGUUCGUUAGAAUUUCGGGCAUCGUUAUGUUAUAGUUUAGGGGCUGUUUUCGGCCCAAUUUGGAGAAAUUGUUGGAUCGUUGGAAAUAUUAUGUGAAUUGUUUAGAAUGUUCUUGAAUGUUGUUAGUAUGGGUUUGGGUUAGUAUUUGGAUGUAUAGGCGUUGAUGUUGGCUUGAAGGUAAGCCGUUGAAUUGAAUAUUUGGAAAGUUGUCGAAUGAUGAAAAAGAGAGUAUUAAUGUAAUAUUGUCUUUCGGAUUGGUUAUUGGAGUUGCUAGGUUGGUUAUUGUGGUUGUUGUUGUUGAUUUUGAGCGAGUUAAAUUCUCGGGAUGGCCUAUUUACAGGGGAAGUGCUGCCGAAUUUUCUGUAGAAUUUAAUGUUAGUUUGGAAUGAAUGGCUUAAGUGCCUAUGUUUAAUAUUGGAUAUUCGUUGGCAUAUUUGUAGACCUUGGGGAGCCCGAGGCGUAGAUUGGAAUUUACUUUAGAUUGGCUAUCUUGGAGUGCGUACGAGGUAUGUAAAGCGCAACCCUUCUUUCUUUUGGCAUGCCUUAGUUUUCAAUAGGCUAUAUCACGAGCCUCGAGGAAAUUCCAAAUUCGAAAUCCGAGCACGUUAUGAUCCUUAUAUAUAUUUCUUGGCAUUCUUAUGUAUGUUGUGAUGAAGUAUGAACAAUUAUGUCUUCGAAAGCAUUGAUUUCCAAACUUUGUACAAAAAGUUGUUUUAAAGAAUUCCGUAACUACGAAAUGCCAUAUCUUUUGCAUAAAGGCUCGGAUUGCUCCAAUAUUUUCAUAAGAGUUUGCAUGAUGUAUAAUGAGUAUGUUUUCCAUGAGCGGGCCCGAUUCGGGUCGAUACCCGUUCGUGGGUCCCGCGACUUUUCUUUAUGUAAUUCGGACGACUUUUGAAAGAAUUUGGUAUGAUUAUCAUUUCGAAUUUCAAAUAUGAUCAUUUUACUUAUGUUUGAAUUUAUGAUAAUGAUUUUAUGCAUAUGACUACUCUAUUAACUACUAAACAAAAAUUGUUUUAAAUAGUUCAUUAAGUCUUAUAAAUUGUUUUGGCCCUCGGAACGACUUCAGAAAGGUAUGCUUCUGUAAUUCAUUAUGACAUCCGAAACUCACUUAUUAUGAUCCCGUCUGACUUCAUUGAAUUGGUUUGCCAUUGAUAUGCCUCAUCGAGUCUCUGAAAAUAUUUAUGAUAUUUUAACUGCAUUUAGUUUCUCACUACUCUAUUCGUGGAUGCCCCAAUGUUUCCCACACUGAGCCCGGGCCAGGAUAUGUUGUCAAGCGUAAUCCUCUGCAUUGUUCGCCGUGCCUCGAUGUGAGGGGGCAGGUAUACGUGUACAUGGGUUUGUGGAGUAUGCUGUGUCAUGUACACAUGUUCUGAUAUGAUUUGCCAUGGCCAUCUGAUAUGAUAUACUAUGUUACGGGGUUAUGCCCCUAUUCUGAUUCUUCUGUGUUGUGGCACCAGCGUCGGGAGGGUGGCCACGUUCUGUUUGCCGAGUCCCUUGGCAGGGGCCGGAUUUGAUAUGACAUAUGUUUCUGUACACACUCCGCAUGUUUUGAAGAUAUGUAUUUGAUACUUUGGAUUUUCUACUCACUUUUUCUGUACGUUCUGUACCAGUUAUGAUUUUGGUUCUGUAAUUCAGGCUUUACAUAUUCAGUACAUAUUUCGUACUGACCCCCUUUCUUCGGGGGCUGCGUUUUCAUGCCGCGCAGGUACCGACGACAGGUUUGCUGAUCCGUCCGUCUAGGAUAUCUUUUCUGCCAUUUGGAGCGCUCUUUUAUUCAGAGCCCAUCUUUUGGUACAGUCUGUCACUACUGUAUAUAUAUAUAUAUAUUCUCGUUCAUGGGUACGGCGGGGCCCUGUCCCGUUAUAUGAUUCCGUCGGUCUGUUUAGAGGUCUGUAGACAUGUUUGUGGGUUAGGGUCUUUCUGUACGGAUGCGUGUAUAUGUUGUGUUUGGGCGAUCUCAUUCGCCGCGGCGGCCGGUCCGCAUAUGUUUAAAUGUUGCUUUGUUGGCCCUGGGUGGUCAUUGUUGGUAUUAUCUGUGCGCAGGGUUAAUUUGGAUAGUCUGUAAAACAAAGGAAACUCUGCCGAAAUUUUUCUGGAAAUUAUCUAAAUAUUGAAAUAUAGCCUUGUCGGCUUCUGCUAUAUACUUGAAUGCGUUUGAUAAUAUUCGUUCUCAACUCUGUUUAAAAAUGAUGAUUUAGUUUGUAUGUCCGUUUGGGUGCCCAAGUAGGGCACCAGUCGCGGCCCACGGGGCUGGGUCGUGACAGAAGUGGUAUCAGAGCAGUUCGUCCUCGGAAUGUCUACAGACCGUGUCUAGUAGAGUCUUGUUUAUCGGUGUGUUGUGCACCACAUCUAUAAACAUGAGGCUACAGGACAUUUAGGGUGUUGCCUUUUUUUCAUAUCUAAGAUCGUGCGAUAGAGCCCAGUCAUAGGAAAUGAAAUUCUUUAUACUAACAUUUGAUUUCAACUGAAGAACGACAUCGACAGAAGAAAGUGAUUGAUGAUAUUGAAAGUUUCAAAGUACGCAGGUAAGCAAAGGUACGAAAGGUAUAAGUCGAGUAAGGUAUGGAAGUGCGAUUGAAAUGUAAAGUUGAAAAUUGAAAGAGAAAGUAUAACAGGUGCAGUUUGAGUUGGGCAUACGAGGUAUGUUCAUCACUUUUAUACUGUUGUUAAUAUUGGGAGCCCUGUGUGGCUAUGAUAUGAUAUGAUGUGUAUAUACGUAUAAAUGUUAUCCCUGUGAGGCAUUGUUGGUAUUUCCUGCGUGGAGGUUUUGGGAUAGUAAGAAGUACAGAGAAAACUCUGCCCAAAUUUUCCCAGAAAUAGAAAAAGAGAAUGAGACAUAGGUUUGUAAUAUGUUUUGAAAGGUUGUGUCAAUAGUAAGGAUAUGAUUUGACUAAUUUGCCAAUAUGGCUGACCUCGAGAAAUAAGUUGACUGCCGAAUCGAUGGUAAUAGUAAUUGGGAAGUCGAUAUCGAUAUGGUAAAAAGAAUAAUUUGGAAAGGGUUUAUGAUACUAAGAGAUGAUUUAGAAAAAGGCUGGAUAAUCUUGAUAAAGUGUUAUAGUAAGGUACCGACUGAAUUGAUAAGCAAGGAAAAAAAAUUAUGACGAGUUUAUAGUAAAAGAAGUAGUAGUAUGAUUAAGAUGAGAGUACAGAGGAAAAUGAAUUGUGACGGAUGCGAAUGUAUUGGUAAAACAGGCUGUGAGGUUGUGAAGGAUAAGAUUGACUAGGAACGGUGAAAGGUUAAGUAUGCUUAUACAACACUAAUGUAACAUUCGAGGACGAAUGUUCCUAAGGGGGGAAGAAUGUUACACUCCAUAAUAAUCUGUGCUACUUGUAUUAAAACAAGAAAGAAUGAGUUAAGAAGGUUCAAGGAAAGUUAAUCGAGUUAGUAAGAAUAUCGUUAUAUAUACAUGGUUUCCUUAAGUAUCCCAAGGCGACACGGUUACCUAAAGGGUGUGGAAUCGCGCUAUGAGUAUGUAUAUGAAGUAAUGCGAGUGACCUUUUAAAGUAUUUGAGAUUAUUAGUAAUGAUAUAGAGGGUGGACAAAAGAUAUGAAUAUACUUUUGCGAUUGGAGUUUCGUCAAAGCUUUGUGAGUUCUCUAGUUAUGUUUAAGGUUAUUGUGAGUCUCUGGACCCUUCAAGAUGUGUAUAUGGAUUUUUUUAUUGAUGUAUAUAAGUGUGUAUAUGUAUGCAUAAGAGGUUACAUAAGGUUGGAAGAGGAUUAGAAGUUAAACGAAAUGAAUCGGAACAACUUCAGUAAAAUUUCGGACCCGAUUUUAGUCUAUAUUGUAGGAGGCAUAUCUCCUUGAAUAUGAGGAGUUUUAAGGUGUUUCAAAAUCCUAAAAUGAAGUUCAUCGAGUCUAGUUUGUAAUGCAACAAACCGCUCGUCAAAAUGAUAUCGGGAUAAGGAGAUAUGGACGAUGCAAGUUGGGCUGGCAGGGCAGCAAGUUUGGACCCGACCUAAACACUCACAUUUCGGCCCAUGAGGCCCAUUAAACUCAAUAGAUAAGUCACCACUUUGCCCUAUAUCAUUUCACACGACCUAAAACAGAUCCAAAACCCUUAUUUUCUCUCCCAAACCCCCUUUCUAAUUGAGCCAUCAUAUAAGCUAAAUCCUAGACCCUUGACAUGAUAUUAGUUAAAGAGAAGUUGUAGCUUAAGUUUUUUUUUGUGUUGUUAAGCAAGCAGCUGGAAAGAGGAACAAGAUUCUUGAAGAUUCUGAUUGCUAAAGGUAAUUUCAACCUCCCACUCAUGUUAUCAAUUUGGAUUAAAGGUUUAAUAUGGUGUAUACGUGAAGGAAACGUUGAUAUACAAGCUAGAGAGAGAGAGAGCAUAAGCCAUGGCAUUCGGCCAUGGCUAGCAAAAUUGGAGCUCAAAUUUGUUGAUCCAAAAAUCAGAUUUUCUAGGUAUUUCAGCCCUUAGGAAGGUGAUAAUAACGUGGAGAAUUCAUUUGGAGCAACAAGAACAAGUAUUAGUGCAUUUCACAAAUUCUAACUAAGUGGAAAAAGCCAACUUGUUAAGACCUUGGGGAGCCCGAGGCGUAGAUUGGAAUUUACUUUAGAUUGGCUAUCUUGGAGUGCGUACGAGGUAUGUAAAGCGCAACCCUUCUUUCUUUUGGCAUGCCUUAGUUUUCAAUAGGCUAUAUCACGAGCCUCGAGGAAAUUCCAAAUUCGAAAUCCGAGCACGUUAUGAUCCUUAUAUAUAUUUCUUGGCAUUCUUAUGUAUGUUGUGAUGAAGUAUGAACAAUUAUGUCUUCGAAAGCAUUGAUUUCCAAACUUUGUACAAAAAGUUGUUUUAAAGAAUUCCGUAACUACGAAAUGCCAUAUCUUUUGCAUAAAGGCUCGGAUUGCUCCAAUAUUUUCAUAAGAGUUUGCAUGAUGUAUAAUGAGUAUGUUUUCCAUGAGCGGGCCCGAUUCGGGUCGAUACCCGUUCGUGGGUCCCGCGACUUUUCUUUAUGUAAUUCGGACGACUUUUGAAAGAAUUUGGUAUGAUUAUCAUUUCGAAUUUCAAAUAUGAUCAUUUUACUUAUGUUUGAAUUUAUGAUAAUGAUUUUAUGCAUAUGACUACUCUAUUAACUACUAAACAAAAAUUGUUUUAAAUAGUUCAUUAAGUCUUAUAAAUUGUUUUGGCCCUCGGAACGACUUCAGAAAGGUAUGCUUCUGUAAUUCAUUAUGACAUCCGAAACUCACUUAUUAUGAUCCCGUCUGACUUCAUUGAAUUGGUUUGCCAUUGAUAUGCCUCAUCGAGUCUCUGAAAAUAUUUAUGAUAUUUUAACUGCAUUUAGUUUCUCACUACUCUAUUCGUGGAUGCCCCAAUGUUUCCCACACUGAGCCCGGGCCAGGAUAUGUUGUCAAGCGUAAUCCUCUGCAUUGUUCGCCGUGCCUCGAUGUGAGGGGGCAGGUAUACGUGUACAUGGGUUUGUGGAGUAUGCUGUGCCAUGUACACAUGUUCUGAUAUGAUUUGCCAUGGCCAUCUGAUAUGAUAUACUAUGUUACGGGGUUAUGCCCCUAUUCUGAUUCUUCUGUGUUGUGGCACCAGCGUCGGGAGGGUGGCCACGUUCUGUUUGCCGAGUCCCUUGGCAGGGGCCGGAUUUGAUAUGACAUAUGUUUCUGUACACACUCCGCAUGUUUUGAAGAUAUGUAUUUGAUACUUUGGAUUUUCUACUCACUUUUUCUGUACGUUCUGUACCAGUUAUGAUUUUGGUUCUGUAAUUCAGGCUUUACAUAUUCAGUACAUAUUUCGUACUGACCCCCUUUCUUCGGGGGCUGCGUUUUCAUGCCGCGCAGGUACCGACGACAGGUUUGCUGAUCCGUCCGUCUAGGAUAUCUUUUCUGCCAUUUGGAGCGCUCUUUUAUUCAGAGCCCAUCUUUUGGUACAGUCUGUCACUACUGUAUAUAUAUAUAUAUAUUCUCGUUCAUGGGUACGGCGGGGCCCUGUCCCGUUAUAUGAUUCCGUCGGUCUGUUUAGAGGUCUGUAGACAUGUUUGUGGGUUAGGGUCUUUCUGUACGGAUGCGUGUAUAUGUUGUGUUUGGGCGAUCUCAUUCGCCGCGGCGGCCGGUCCGCAUAUGUUUAAAUGUUGCUUUGUUGGCCUUGGGUGGUCAUUGUUGGUAUUAUCUGUGCGCAGGGUUAAUUUGGAUAGUCUGUAAAACAAAGGAAACUCUGCCGAAAUUUUUCUGGAAAUUAUCUAAAUAUUGAAAUAUAGCCUUGUCGGCUUCUGCUA
This is a long non-coding RNA of Lycium barbarum (goji berry), 7884 nucleotides long. RefSeq lists it as uncharacterized. NCBI's taxonomy places the organism in Eukaryota, Viridiplantae, Streptophyta, Magnoliopsida, Solanales, Solanaceae. The transcript is spliced from 2 exons. The record is from RefSeq and is a predicted model, not a curated record.